This 253-nucleotide ribosomal RNA is filed under the name uncultured bacterium. Its description in RNAcentral is "partial 16S ribosomal RNA". It matches the Rfam family "Bacterial small subunit ribosomal RNA", at positions 524 to 776 of the family's 1533-position model. The record is from RNAcentral.
UACGGAGGAUCCGAGCGUUAUCCGGAUUUAUUGGGUUUAAAGGGUGCGUAGGCGGCCUAUUAAGUCAGGGGUGAAAUACGGUGGCUCAACCAUCGCAGUGCCUUUGAUACUGAUGGGCUUGAAUCCAUUUGAAGUGGGCGGAAUAAGACAAGUAGCGGUGAAAUGCAUAGAUAUGUCUUAGAACUCCGAUUGCGAGGGCAGCUCACUAAGCUGGUAUUGACGCUGAUGCACGAAAGCGUGGGGAUCGAACAGG